This 250-nucleotide ribosomal RNA is filed under the name uncultured bacterium. Its description in RNAcentral is "partial 16S ribosomal RNA". It matches the Rfam family "Bacterial small subunit ribosomal RNA", at positions 524 to 773 of the family's 1533-position model. The record is from RNAcentral.
UACGGAGGGGGCUAGCGUUGUUCGGAAUUACUGGGCGUAAAGCGCGCGUAGGCGGUUCCAGCAGUCGGGCGUGAAAGCCCCGGGCUCAACCCGGGAAUAGCGCACGAUACUUUGGAGCUAGAGUCCGGGAGAGGAGAGUGGAAUUCCCAGUGUAGAGGUGAAAUUCGUAGAUAUUGGGAAGAACACCGGUGGCGAAGGCGGCUCUCUGGACCGGUACUGACGCUUAGGCGCGAAAGCGUGGGGAGCAAAC